UCAGGCCUAACACAUGCAAGUCGAACGGUAACAGGUCUUCGGAUGCUGACGAGUGGCGAACGGGUGAGUAAUACAUCGGAACGUGCCCAGUAAUGGGGGAUAGCCCGGCGAAAGCCGGAUUAAUACCGCAUACGCCCUGAGGGGGAAAGUGGGGGACCGCAAGGCCUCACGUUAUUGGAGCGGCCGAUGGCUGAUUAGCUAGUUGGUAGGGUAAAGGCCUACCAAGGCGACGAUCAGUAGCUGGUCUGAGAGGACGAUCAGCCACACUGGGACUGAGACACGGCCCAGACUCCUACGGGAGGCAGCAGUGGGGAAUUUUGGACAAUGGGGGAAACCCUGAUCCAGCAAUGCCGCGUGUGCGAAGAAGGCCUUCGGGUUGUAAAGCACUUUUGUCAGGGAAGAAAUCCUUGGGCUAAUACCCUAGGGGGAUGAC
RNAcentral lists this ribosomal RNA (433 nucleotides) under uncultured bacterium. RNAcentral's name for it is "bacterial SSU rRNA". It matches the Rfam family "Bacterial small subunit ribosomal RNA", at positions 42 to 473 of the family's 1533-position model. The record is from RNAcentral.